UAAAGAAUUUCGGUAUGGGAUGGGGAUGCGUUCCAUUAGUUAGUUGGCGGGGUAACGGCCCACCAAGACAACGAUGGAUAGGGGUUCUGAGAGGAAGGUCCCCCACAUUGGAACUGAGACACGGUCCAAACUCCUACGGGAGGCAGCAGUGAGGAAUAUUGGUCAAUGGACGAGAGUCUGAACCAGCCAAGUAGCGUGAAGGAUGACUGCCCUAUGGGUUGUAAACUUCUUUUAUAUGGGAAUAAAAUGUUCCACGUGUGGGAUUUUGUAUGUACCAUAUGAAUAAGGAUCGGCUAACUCCGUGCCAGCAGCCGCGGUAAUACGGAGGAUCCGAGCGUUAUCCGGAUUUAUUGGGUUUAAAGGGAGCGUAGGUGGAUUGUUAAGUCAGUUGUGAAAGUUUGCGGCUCAACCGUAAAAUUGCAGUUGAAACUGGCAGUCUUGAGUACAGUAGAGGUGGGCGGAAUUCGUGGUGUAGCGGUGAAAUGCUUAGAUAUCACGAAGAACUCCGAUUGCGAAGGCAGCUCACUGGACUGCAACUGACACUGAGGCUCGAAAGUGUGGGUAUCAAACAGGAUUAGAUACCCUGGUAGUCCACACAGUAAACGAUGAAUACUCGCUGUUUGCGAUAUACAGUAAGC
RNAcentral lists this ribosomal RNA (638 nucleotides) under uncultured bacterium. Its description in RNAcentral is "bacterial SSU rRNA". It matches the Rfam family "Bacterial small subunit ribosomal RNA", at positions 202 to 844 of the family's 1533-position model. The record is from RNAcentral.